CCAUGUGGGGUUAAGUCUUUAUUUAUUGAUGUAUAUGAUAACGCAUGGGUGGUAUCUAUCCAGCACUUCACUCGUGUGCGCUAUCUAUCAAUGGCGGCUUGGCCCUCUAGUUCGAGUACUAUCAUCAUUAAUGGCGUGUUGAUGAAUUAUGACUCUCUUUUUCUCAAUAAAUUAACUUCAACUUUAAGUGCGGUGGGGGUUGUCUUGUCAUCCCACAAGGGUGUUGAACUAAUAUCAAAGAAUGUGGGAGACAAACAACAAACAUUUCAAUGCUACCAACAGUUGACAAAACGUCUUUAUUUCCUCAUUGUAGGGUCACACCUUCCCCUCUUCACUAUAUUUAUACCCUCACUCUUCCCUCACCUCUUCACCACCACACUUCUUUCUCUCCCUUCUUCAUAA
Molecule: non-coding RNA, 402 nt
Organism: Vicia faba (fava bean)
Lineage: Eukaryota; Viridiplantae; Streptophyta; Magnoliopsida; Fabales; Fabaceae
Source: the annotation of a GenBank genome assembly